This 737-nucleotide ribosomal RNA is filed under the name Salmonella enterica subsp. enterica serovar Kentucky. Its description in RNAcentral is "partial 23S ribosomal RNA". It matches the Rfam family "Bacterial large subunit ribosomal RNA", at positions 1021 to 1757 of the family's 2925-position model. Lineage: Bacteria; Pseudomonadati; Pseudomonadota; Gammaproteobacteria; Enterobacterales; Enterobacteriaceae. The record is from RNAcentral.
AACAACCCAGACCGCCAGCUAAGGUCCCAAAGUCAUGGUUAAGUGGGAAACGAUGUGGGAAGGCCCAGACAGCCAGGAUGUUGGCUUAGAAGCAGCCAUCAUUUAAAGAAAGCGUAAUAGCUCACUGGUCGAGUCGGCCUGCGCGGAAGAUGUAACGGGGCUAAACCAUGCACCGAAGCUGCGGCAGCGACGCUGAUGCGUUGUUGGGUAGGGGAGCGUUCUGUAAGCCUGUGAAGGUGGCCUGUGAGGGUUGCUGGAGGUAUCAGAAGUGCGAAUGCUGACAUAAGUAACGAUAAAGCGGGUGAAAAGCCCGCUCGCCGGAAGACCAAGGGUUCCUGUCCAACGUUAAUCGGGGCAGGGUGAGUCGACCCCUAAGGCGAGGCCGAAAGGCGUAGUCGAUGGGAAACGGGUUAAUAUUCCCGUACUUGGUGUUACUGCGAAGGGGGGACGGAGAAGGCUAUGUUGGCCGGGCGACGGUUGUCCCGGUUUAAGCGUGUAGGUGUGUGUUCCAGGUAAAUCCGGUUCACUUUAACACUGAGGCGUGAUGACGAGGCACUACGGUGCUGAAGCAACAAAUGCCCUGCUUCCAGGAAAAGCCUCUAAGCAUCAGGUAACAUCAAAUCGUACCCCAAACCGACACAGGUGGUCAGGUAGAGAAUACCAAGGCGCUUGAGAGAACUCGGGUGAAGGAACUAGGCAAAAUGGUGCCGUAACUUCGGGAGAAGGCACGCUGACAC